UUUUUCCCCUGAUUUUUUUUUUUAAAAUUUGGUAUUUCCCAGUGUGGGUUUGCCUCAUUUUACAAAUAGCUGCCUAUGUCAAGUUGUGGGUAUGUGAUUUAAAUAUUUUAAUUUGAAUCACAUUUUACAUAGUCUAGGAAACUGACAAAGGAAUCCUAUAGAGAAUUGUUUUCUAAAGUGAAUAACUGCUUCUCUACCUACCCGCCCCCCUCAUUCUUCUUUUCUGUGCGUGUUUUUUGGGGAAUGUUAGGGGAUAAAUCUGGUUUGGCUUAACUAAAACGCAGCCUUUCAAAUCCAAAACAGAGAGCUUAGGCACCCAACAUUCUAUAGAAUGUGUUAUUUCCUCAAGAGGUUGCUAGGAACAGUUAUGUAGAUCUACCAGGUGCAGGGAAGCACUCUACAUCCUCACCCAGGUCCUGUAUCCCUGCAAGACUGCAUUGGAAAGACUGAAGAGGAAGCUGAAGAAUGAUAUGCUCCACCACAAUGAGGGACUAAACAACAAAAAGGAGGCACGGGAUUCAGGAAGGAAAAAAGAGCUGACAAGCCAUAGCAGGACGGCCAUCCCCUGAGAGAUAGGAGAGGAGGAGAAACAGCCCGACAGGGGCCUGGAGCAGCUGGCUGGCGUCAGUAAUUUCCUGCAGGAGACUCUGCUGGCCGAGCACACGUCACCCUUCUGUUGAUCCUCUGUAUUCUCCCUUGUGCUACUAAAAUACGCUAAUGUAAGUCCUGGGCUGUGCUGAGCUAAAUGCAGUUAUUUAACUUCAUCGCUAUGGAACCCAGGUCUAAAGCAGCAACAUCUAUUUGGAACAAGGUGGGGAGGAGGUAAGCCCCAAACAUCCCUGAGCAGCAGGAAUACACAUUACAAAGUUUCUCUUUCCACACCGAAGAGUCUUCUGGGCCCUUGCUUGAGACCCCUGACUUUUACUUAACACAUAGGUCUAGUUUGCUUGGUGAACUGCUUUCUGACACCUGAACAGACUGGAAGCAGGGAACUGAAGGUGAGAAAAGACUGCCACAAACAGGAGCCAAGAGCUAAGAGCCAAGCCAGGGAGGUGACAUUCAUGGUGACAACUGUGGAUGGGAAUCC
RNAcentral lists this long non-coding RNA (1087 nucleotides) under Papio anubis (olive baboon). RNAcentral describes it as "lncRNA (ENSPANG00000046439.1)". The record is from RNAcentral. Lineage: Eukaryota; Metazoa; Chordata; Mammalia; Primates; Cercopithecidae.